RNAcentral lists this ribosomal RNA (503 nucleotides) under uncultured bacterium. RNAcentral describes it as "partial 16S ribosomal RNA". It matches the Rfam family "Bacterial small subunit ribosomal RNA", at positions 30 to 523 of the family's 1533-position model. The record is from RNAcentral.
AUUGAACGCUGGCGGCAGGCUUAACACAUGCAAGUCGAGCGGGGUGAUGGUGCUUGCACUAUCACUUAGCGGCGGACGGGUGAGUAAUGCUUAGGAAUCUGCCUAUUAGUGGGGGACAACAUCUCGAAAGGGAUGCUAAUACCGCAUACGUCCUACGGGAGAAAGCAGGGGAUCACUUGUGACCUUGCGCUAAUAGAUGAGCCUAAGUCGGAUUAGCUAGUUGGUGGGGUAAAGGCCUACCAAGGCGACGAUCUGUAGCGGGUCUGAGAGGAUGAUCCGCCACACUGGGACUGAGACACGGCCCAGACUCCUACGGGAGGUAGCAGUGGGGAAUAUUGGACAAUGGGCGGAAGCCUGAUCCAGCCAUGCCGCGUGUGUGAAGAAGGCCUUUUGGUUGUAAAGCACUUUAAGCGAGGAGGAGGCUACUUAGAUUAAUACUCUGGGAUAGUGGACGUUACUCGCAGAAUAGGCACCGGCUAACUCUGUGCCAGCCGCCGCAGUAA